GACGAACGCUGGCGGCGUGCCUAAUACAUGCAAGUCGAACGCUUCUUCCCUCCCGAGUGCUUGCAAUCAAUGGGAAAGAGGAGAGGCGGACGGGUGAGUAACACGUGUGCAACCUACCCAUCAGAGGGGGAUAACACUUGGAAACAGGUGCUAAUACCGCAUAACAGUUUAUGCCGCAUGGCAUAAGAGUGAAAGGCGCUUUCGGGGGUCGUGGCUGGUUGGACCCGCGGUGCAUUAGCUAGUUGGCGGGGUAACGGCUCACCAAGGCCACGAGGCAUAGCUGACCUGAGAGGGUGAUCGGCCACACUGGGACUGAGACACGGCCCAGACUCCUACGGGAGGCAGCAGUAGGGAAUCUUCGGCAAUGGGCGAAAGUCUGACCGAGCCACGCCGCGUGAGUGAAGAAGGUUUUCGGAUCGUAAAACUCUGUUGUUAGGGAAGAACAAGGACGUUAGUAACUGAACGUCCCCUGACGGUACCUAACCAGAAAGCCACGGCUAACUACGUG
Molecule: ribosomal RNA, 508 nt
Filed under: uncultured bacterium
Lineage: Bacteria
Description: partial 16S ribosomal RNA
Rfam family: Bacterial small subunit ribosomal RNA
Source: RNAcentral